Molecule: non-coding RNA, 401 nt
Rfam family: transfer-messenger RNA
About the family: Bacterial tmRNA, also known as 10Sa RNA or SsrA, is named for its dual tRNA and mRNA-like properties. Its role is to liberate the mRNA from a stalled ribosome. To accomplish this part of the tmRNA is used as a reading frame that ends in a translation stop signal.
Source: Rfam
GGGGAUGACAGGCUUUCGACAGGGCAGGUGUAAGAUAGAGUUGCACUCCGAGUUUCAGCAUGGAUGGACUCGUUAAAGAAGUCUAUGCAAACAAUACAUGCAGACGAUUAUUCGUAUGCAAUGGCUGCCUGAUUAGCAAAAGUUAAUUAAUCAGCCAUCGUCCUGCGGCCGAGGCGCUUACUCUGAAACCGCAGGAUGGCAUAAUCGCGCUUGAGCUUCAGCUCGCGCAAGUAAGCCCCGUCUGUUUUCGCCCGAAGGGGCAGGCGGGUAUCAAUUCGGGCUAGCGGAACGGCCUUUGCCGGUGCAGUUCCGGCCCGCGAAACUCCGAGCACCGGAGAUGAGUGUGGUGGCUUUAUCGAGCAAUGUUCUGGACCCGGGUUCGACUCCCGGCAUCUCCACCC